Triticum dicoccoides is the source of this 1137-nucleotide long non-coding RNA. RefSeq lists it as uncharacterized. The transcript has 4 exons. Lineage: Eukaryota; Viridiplantae; Streptophyta; Magnoliopsida; Poales; Poaceae. The record is from RefSeq and is a predicted model, not a curated record.
CUCUAUUUAGCAGAUCCCUUUCCUCCUCAUCCUCCUCCAUCCCAUUCGGCCUCCACCUCGCGAAGCAUCACGACGCCGCCGCCGACGUUCCUCUGCAUCGUGCAGUUAAAUCCCUAGCUAGUUCCCUGCUACCCACGUCAGGCGACCAAGCAGUGAGACUACAGUUUACCGGAGAGGUCAGCGGCGUCGCGACUCGUGCGAGACCUUCUGGCCGGCGUACCUAUCAAUGGCGGGAGUCGGGAGAGGUCUUAUAUGGCAGAUCUACGUCCAGCCAGAGGACGGAUGGACUCCGGCAGAGUUGGAACUUGGAACUGCGCGUGAGCGGAAUAUCUGACGAGGAGCUUGCCGAUGUCUAUGGCAGUCGAUCUAGAUGGCGGCCAGGUCAAGUUUGUUCUUUUGAGAAAAUUUGGUGAUUGUAGGACUAGGAACUUCCUACUGGUGUUGCUCAGCAGUCUAUGACAACGAGUUUGUUCCAGAUGGCGGUGAGGUGGCCUUUGUUCCUUUUUGAAAGUUCCUGAGAUCCUGUAUAGGUCUCUUGAUGUGAACCUUGUGAUUGGAAUGUCUUUCAAGGUCUGACCUUAUAUAGACUUUUGUUUAAACUGAUCGAUUUUUUGGAUGAACAUUACGAUUUCGCAACCAUUUGCCCAUUUUUAUCUAUGACUUGCUAGUUUUUUUUAAGGUGCUAGAUUUGAUCGUCACUCUUUGUGGAGAUGAAUCAUAUGAGCAGCUAGAUGUUGUCACGUAAUGUUCCAUAUGGUGAAGAGGAGACUGGUAAAGUACGUGCUAGGAGGUACUGUAUGUACAUAGUGAGUCAGUUGAAAAGCAGUGGCGGAUCUAUGAUCUCAAAACACUCUGGGGGUGCCGCGGUUAAUUUUUUUAAUGUAAUUUGGUCUAAAUGUAUCAUAGCUCCAAGUUAGCAUUAAGAUGUUAGAUAAGUAUUGUUAGGUAAGGUUUCUUUGCGCAACCCUUACAAUUCCAUGUCAUGUUUGUGUUGUUUCCUUCAAUUCCCUUUUUAUAUAGUUAUAUCUGAUGGAUAAGUCGGUGUACUAGGGUCCUUGUGGGGCUGCAGCACAUGGUCCUUGUGGCAGUUAGGAGGAUAAAGUCCUGGACCAUCAAGGACUGGCUGUUAGAAUAGAG